RNAcentral lists this ribosomal RNA (497 nucleotides) under uncultured bacterium. RNAcentral's name for it is "partial 16S ribosomal RNA". It matches the Rfam family "Bacterial small subunit ribosomal RNA", at positions 28 to 507 of the family's 1533-position model. The record is from RNAcentral.
GAUGAACGCUGGCGGCGUGCCUAAUACAUGCAAGUCGAGCGAACAGAUGAGGAGCUUGCUCCUCUGACGUUAGCGGCGGACGGGUGAGUAACACGAGGAUAGCCUACCUAUAAGACUGGGAUAACUUCGGGAAACCGGAGCUAAUACCGGAUAAUAUAUUGAACCGCAUGGUUCAAUAGUGAAAGACGGUUUUGCUGUCACUUAUAGAUGGAUCCGCGCCGCAUUAGCUAGUUGGUAAGGUAACGGCUUACCAAGGCAACGAUGCGUAGCCGACCUGAGAGGGUGAUCGGCCACACUGGAACUGAGACACGGUCCAGACUCCUACGGGAGGCAACAGUAGGGAAUCUUCCGCAAUGGGCGAAAGCCUGACGGAGCAACGCCGCGUGAGUGAUGAAGGUCUUCGGAUCGUAAAACUCUGUUAUUAGGGAAGAACAAAUGUGUAAGUAACUAUGCACGUCUUGACGGUACCUAAUCAGAAAGCCACGGCUAACUACGUG